This 254-nucleotide ribosomal RNA is filed under the name uncultured bacterium. RNAcentral's name for it is "partial 16S ribosomal RNA". It matches the Rfam family "Bacterial small subunit ribosomal RNA", at positions 524 to 776 of the family's 1533-position model. The record is from RNAcentral.
UACGGAGGGUCCAAGCGUUAUCCGGAAUUACUGGGCGUAAAGAGUUGCGUAGGUGGCAUUGUAAGUAGAUAGUGAAAGUUCGGGGCUCAACCCCGUAUCCAUUAUCUAAACUGCAAAGCUAGAGGGCGAGAGAGGUAACUAGAAUUCCUUGUGUAGGAGUGAAAUCCGUAGAUAUAAGGAGGAAUACCGAUGGCGUAGGCAGGUUACUGGCUCGUCCCUGACACUAAGGCACGAAAGCGUGGGGAGCAAACGGG